Lepidothrix coronata (blue-crowned manakin) is the source of this 323-nucleotide long non-coding RNA. RefSeq lists it as uncharacterized. The record is from RefSeq and is a predicted model, not a curated record. NCBI's taxonomy places the organism in Eukaryota, Metazoa, Chordata, Aves, Passeriformes, Pipridae. The transcript has 2 exons.
UGCGCCCCCCCGCGGCCGGAGGGGGAAAAAAUUAUCUCUUGGCCUCCCCGUCGGGGAAUCGAACCCCGGUCUCCCGCGUGACAGGCGGGGAUACUCACCACUAUACUAACGAGGAAUUGCCUUGGAUAGGUCUUCUGUGGGAGAGCCUUUAUACAAAUCCACACAAACACUCCGCGGCGGUGAGAGCCUAGAGUCUACUCUUUUCGCUUGCGGCCGAGAGGGCAGCACGAUGUGGAGGGCUUAGUGGGGGUCAUGGCAUAGGAUUGCUGCUGUAGCAAUGUAAUCGUAAAGAUCCCGUUGGAAAAUUGGUAUGUCUUUGUUUA